RNAcentral lists this long non-coding RNA (282 nucleotides) under Elaeis guineensis (African oil palm). RNAcentral's name for it is "long non-coding RNA (EGUI_LNC014071)". Lineage: Eukaryota; Viridiplantae; Streptophyta; Magnoliopsida; Arecales; Arecaceae. The record is from RNAcentral.
AGCUUCAGCCGUCAGAUCCGAACUCUCUGGCAAGUCACGAUAAUAGCCACUACCCUACUCCACUCUCUGUAACAGAUUCCACGUGGCUCCACCACUCUCUGGCAAGUCGCAACAAUGGACACCACUCCACUCUCCAUAACAAACUCCACGUGGCCCUGAACGGCCUCCUGACGCCACUAUUCUCCGUAACAAACUCCGCAUGAUCCUGAACAGCCCACUAUUAGACGGUUACAGACGUCACUGUCAAUCAGUUAUGCUCUCCGUCUAUAAAAAGGGAUCCCC